GUGGGUAACCUGCCUGUAAGACUGGGAUAACUCCGGGAAACCGGGGCUAAUACCGGAUGGUUGUUUGAACCGCAUGGUUCAAACAUAAAAGGUGGCUUCGGCUACCACUUACAGAUGGACCCGCGGCGCAUUAGCUAGUUGGUGAGGUAACGGCUCACCAAGGCAACGAUGCGUAGCCGACCUGAGAGGGUGAUCGGCCACACUGGGACUGAGACACGGCCCAGACUCCUACGGGAGGCAGCAGUAGGGAAUCUUCCGCAAUGGACGAAAGUCUGACGGAGCAACGCCGCGUGAGUGAUGAAGGUUUUCGGAUCGUAAAGCUCUGUUGUUAGGGAAGAACAAGUACCGUUCGAAUAGGGCGGUACCUUGACGGUACCUAACCAGAAAGCCACGGCUAACUACGUGCCAGCAGCCGCGGUAAUACGUAGGUGGCAAGCGUUGUCCGGAAUUAUUGGGCGUAAAGGGCUCGCAGGCGGUUUCUUAAGUCUGAUGUGAAAGCCCCCGGCUCAACCGGGGAGGGUCAUUGGAAACUGGGGAACUUGAGUGCAGAAGAGGAGAGUGGAAUUCCACGUGUAGCGGUGAAAUGCGUAGAGAUGUGGAGGAACACCAGUGGCGAAGGCGACUCUCUGGUCUGUAACUGACGCUGAGGAGCGAAAGCGUGGGGAGCGAACAGGAUUAGAUACCCUGGUAGUCCACGCCGUAAACGAUGAGUGCUAAGUGUUACGGGGUUUCCGCCCCUUAGUGCUGCAGCUAACGCAUUAAGCACUCCGCCUGGGGAGUACGGUCGCAAGACUGAACUCAAAGGAAUUGACGGGGGCCCGCACAAGCGGUGGAGCAUGU
RNAcentral lists this ribosomal RNA (840 nucleotides) under Bacillus subtilis. RNAcentral's name for it is "bacterial SSU rRNA". It matches the Rfam family "Bacterial small subunit ribosomal RNA", at positions 117 to 942 of the family's 1533-position model. The record is from RNAcentral. Lineage: Bacteria; Bacillati; Bacillota; Bacilli; Caryophanales; Bacillaceae.